UACCAGCACCCCGAGUGGUCGGGACGAUUAUUGGGCCUAAAGCAUCCGUAGCCGGUUCUACAAGUCUUCCGUUAAAUCCACCUGCUUAACAGAUGGGCUGCGGAGGAUACUAUAGAGCUAGGAGGCGGGAGAGGCAAGCGGUACUUAGUGGGUAGGGGUAAAAUGCGUAGAUAUAUGAAAGAACAUCAAUAUAGCGAAGGCAGUUAACUAUUCUGCUACUGACAUUGAGGCAUGAAAGCGUGGGGAGCAAAACGG
This 255-nucleotide ribosomal RNA is filed under the name uncultured bacterium. RNAcentral's name for it is "partial 16S ribosomal RNA". The stretch from base 27 to 255 matches the Rfam family "Bacterial small subunit ribosomal RNA", at positions 550 to 776 of the family's 1533-position model. The record is from RNAcentral.